Pogoniulus pusillus (Red-fronted tinkerbird) is the source of this 810-nucleotide long non-coding RNA. RefSeq lists it as uncharacterized. The record is from RefSeq and is a predicted model, not a curated record. The transcript has 2 exons. Lineage: Eukaryota; Metazoa; Chordata; Aves; Piciformes; Lybiidae.
CUCGGGCACAUCACGUGCGCGGCGCGAGCAGGCUGCGGUGGCCUCUGCGAGCUGUGUGCGCCUUAGGCCCGGCCCGGCCAGCGGGGGCCUGCCAGGAGAGCGCGGAGCAGGAGCCGAUGCGUGCUGGUUGCGGCCCUCCUUCGGCUCUGUGGAGCAAAGUCGCCAAAUAGGGCAGGGAAUGUUCAGCCCGCUGCUGGUCCAAGAAAUCGCACUGGGUCCGUCUGAGUUAGCUGGGGCAAUUUCAAAAGUGUGGGGGGGCGGGGUAACCCCCAAACCAUCACAACAUCCUUCUCCUGUUCCUGGAAUCCUGCCAGCUGACCAUCCCUGGACACGCAGCAUCUAGAAAUCCAGCAGCCUCGAGGCAGAGACCACCUCACACCAGGAGAAAAGGUUAGAGAAAACCUGUUUACCCAGAGACUGGGAACACUUAUCAUUCCCCUCGCAAGCCGGGAAGAUUCCAGCCUCACAGAGAUCCGAACACUGGGCAUAUGCUGUGACACAAUCUCGGGAGGGUGAUUAAUAAUUAAGGGCAACACAUCUAAGCAAGCUUUAAUUCCUUUGUAAUAUAAGUGACCUCUGCCUUAGAGCAGACUGCUUUCAGCCCCUGCUGGGCAAACAGCAUAGUUGUUAAGAGGCAUUAAGCCUGAGGGAAAUCUCUCUCUGUCUAUAGUUGGUAAUUUGAUAGUUAAUAAUCAAAUCCCUGUACAUAUAUCCUAAUUGUUUUCAUAAAUUUGCACAAAAGAACUAUUCAGUGGUUGGGGGUGGCAAAAGUUUGUAAAUAUUAAUUUUAAUAAAUAAUUUUUAUAAAAA